Molecule: ribosomal RNA, 525 nt
Filed under: uncultured Bacteroidota bacterium
Lineage: Bacteria; Pseudomonadati; Bacteroidota
Description: bacterial SSU rRNA
Rfam family: Bacterial small subunit ribosomal RNA
Source: RNAcentral
GGGCGCAAGCCUGAUCCAGCCAUGCCGCGUGAAAGGAUUAAGGUCCUCUGGAUUGUAAACUUCUUUUAUAAGGGACGAAAAAAGGGAAUUCUUUCUCACUUGACGGUACCUUAUGAAUAAGCACCGGCUAACUCCGUGCCAGCAGCCGCGGUAAUACGGAGGGUGCAAGCGUUAUCCGGAUUCACUGGGUUUAAAGGGUGCGUAGGCGGGUAUUUAAGUCAGUGGUGAAAUCCUAGAGCUUAACUCUAGAACUGCCAUUGAUACUAUUUAUCUUGAAUAUUGUGGAGGUAAGCGGAAUAUGUCAUGUAGCGGUGAAAUGCUUAGAUAUGACAUAGAACACCUAUUGCGAAGGCAGCUUACUACGCAUAUAUUGACGCUGAGGCACGAAAGCGUGGGGAUCAAACAGGAUUAGAUACCCUGGUAGUCCACGCCCUAAACGAUGGAUACUCGACAUACGCGAUACACUGUGUGUGUCUGAGCGAAAGCAUUAAGUAUCCCACCUGGGAAGUACGACCGCAAGGUUGA